This 219-nucleotide ribosomal RNA is filed under the name uncultured bacterium. Its description in RNAcentral is "partial 16S ribosomal RNA". It matches the Rfam family "Bacterial small subunit ribosomal RNA", at positions 1282 to 1500 of the family's 1533-position model. The record is from RNAcentral.
AACGUCCCAGUUCGGAUUGUAGUCUGCAACCCGACUACAUGAAGCUGGAAUCGCUAGUAAUCGCGAAUCAGCAUGUCGCGGUGAAUACGUUCCCGGGUCUUGUACACACCGCCCGUCACACCAUGGGAGUUGGUAACGCCCGAAGUCAGUGACCUAACCGCAAGGGAGGAGCUGCCGAAGGUGGGGCCAGUAACUGGGGUGAAGUCGUAACAAGGUAAC